CCAGGACUCGCACGCACGAGCGAGACUGCCCUCGGGGGGAGGCCUCCAGAUCCCUUCGCUGCCAGAUCCCUCCUCGCGAUCCUCCCGACGUCCUCGCGCCGCCGUCCUCUUCUUCUCUGCGACUCCUCUGUGCACGACGCCCUGACCGACGCCGGCGAGUCCUCGGCACUCCGCGUGCGCCUCGCAUCCAACGCCGGGGAGGAUCGCGUGACUCCGCCCGCGUCGUCGCCUCCGACGCUGGCCUCUCCUUCACCACCGUCCCUGCCGGCAGGGUCCCCCUCGUCAUGGCCUUCCUCGCCUGGGUGUACGUCACCAGCUGGCCAUAUGGCAGGACGCGCAGACCCGGGCGAUCCUCUCCGGCCUCCUUGAGAAGAGCUCGACUCCAGCCCGGCGACGACGAUGACCUGAUUCCUACCCGUGGACGAUGAUGUGCUCUGGCCCAACCGCAUCGACCUCAACAAGCCUCGUCAAGAAUCGUCACCGUGGGCUGCGCCCCUCUCUUCCUUCACGACCAGGAGUUGUCGAGGAGAACCAUCAACUUGAUUGAUUGGUUGUCUACUUGAAAAGAAAAGAAGAUGAAGACGAAUGAGUGGAUCUGAAGGAGAGAGGGCGAGAAGAAGAGGCGCCGUGUGUCUUGUAGUGGGUGAGAAUUGUCUAGCCGGCAAUGGAUUUCCAGCAAGGGUGGCAGAGAAAAAUCCAUGACGAGAUGAACACCACCACGACAGCAUCAUGAAUGUCAUCGAGUUCUCUUGGGCAAUAAAACUGCAGUCACUGGAGGGAGCAAACCAAAUGACCAUAUAUCUACUACUCAGAUCACGGGGGUUCUGGAGUCCUUGGCGUGUGCAAGUAUGCCCAACCUGCCAUAUCUCUAUGCUGCGGAUUUUAUCAAGGUCUUACAAGAAAAACAUGCAUCCAACACCUACGCAAAAAUGACCUCAAUAUUUAUGUCACAACAGCAUCUAAUGCAGAAGAAAGCACCUGGGGUACAUACUGCCCAGGAAUGGAGCCAUCGCCUCCUUCUGAGUAUAUUACCUGCUUAGGUGAUCUCUACAGUAUUUCCUGGAUGGAAGACAGCAGCCGUAUGUGCACUGCUUGUGCUAGGCGCCGAUCUGGAGGCCCCUGAUCGGAAGGGAAGCCACUGGAGCUGCUGCGGGAGAUGGUGGCGGUACGCUGGUAGAGCUUGGAGCAGACGUGGAGGGGCCGGACCUGCUGGUCCUUGAAGGUGCUGAAGGUGCUUUGAGAAAAAAAUCAGUUAGGUGAAUUCAUUACAGUUUGAAAUGAUCUAUAUGGAGGUCACAUUGUUUUUUAGGGUAUUAGUCCCCUGGUGAAGUGGUGGUCAUUAUCAAUGCUGCUGCAUUUUAAGGUAGUGGUCAAAAUGCUAGCUAGGAUAAAUUGGAAGGAGCCGAUCAUAGUUUUUCGGCUAUUACUGUAGAAAUUCAUGGUAUUAUCCUUGCUAUGACAGUGAUGUAUUUGCAUUGCUGCAUAAAUUCAUGGAGUGAUUCAUAUUUUCUUGACUCAUUUUACGUGUAUUGUUACUGCAAUAACGACACAACUAUUCUUUCAUCUAUGGUGUUAAAAAUAACGACGUGUAACAUAUAGAAGGGUAGGACUUUCAGUUUCUUAUUUGGAUUUUGCAACUUAACCAUGAAUGUGAAUGUGUAGGAAUAAUGCCAAAAUUACCUAACCGAAUUGCAAUAAGAUUUUUACGUUUAUUAUUUAAGUCAAACCUUACCACUAGGAGAUGAAAUGGUUGUUUUAGGUGUACAUGUACUAAGAAAAGGAACGGCUUGUGUUCCACGAUGGUACGUGCCGCAGUAUACUCAACGGAUGGCAGGUUCUUAUAUGCCAUAUGGAGAGGGAGAACCAGGUGCCUGAGGGACAUCGAGCUUUCCCAUGUCUUCUUCCUUCCAUUCAACGUUGUUAAGAUUUUGAAGAUUUUUGGCGAUCUGAACUCGUGUGACAUGGACCCUCUGCAACGGACUCUUGGCUUACAUCAACCAUUUUGUUGACCAAGUACCUGUAUUGCGGCAUGAUCCAAGGAGUGGAUCACUGCAUAUAUCCUGACAUGACUGGUCUGUUAUUGUUAUCUUCUUGGGAGUACUUGAGAAGGCGCGGCGGGGAAGGUGGGGACACGCCAUGGCAGAGGCCAGUGGCAAACCUACGUGUAAGCCCUGAGGUCCGGGGAAGGUAGCUUUAUUUGGCAAUGCCAAUGAUCAAGUUAGGGAUGCACAAGUCAACCAUGAGAUGUCGGAGACUGAUGUGGAUGCGCAAGGGCAGCGCUGGCCUCUGCCUAGAAGGGCAAUCACAGUGUACAGAGCUCUAGCAGCACUACGCCGUCAUCCUCUGCCUCACCCCGGCCGCAUGAAUUUCAAGAGAUGCAAGGAAGUAGGAGGAAGAAGAAAUGCAGGCGACCUCAUGAAAGUCACAGCAGCAAAGAUCCACAGAUGGAGAAGUCAGAGGAGGAACCAUGAUUUUUGAACAAGCAUUAGUUUGUGGCUCAUGGAUGAAGAUUGCAAGUACUACUUUGUAACUAAUUUAGCUAAUCGCUCACCAAUCUGUUAUUGUUAUCUUCUUGGGAGUACUUGGAAGGCGUGGCGGGGAAGGUGGGGAAACGCCAUGGCAGAGGCCAGUGGCAAACCUACGUGUAAGCCGUGAGGGUAUUCUUGCUGGCGUCGUCGCUAGCAGAGGCGCAUGGUCGACAGGAAGAGCCGGGGCAUUGACACUUUUCGUGCUACCAACACUACAUACCAGCCACAAAAACACAAUAACAGUUGGGAGGGCUGCUUUAUAUCCCUAGACCCCCACCCACACCUGACCGCCAUCUCCCUCUUUCCUCGGUAUCAUAACCUGAUGCGACGUUGGCGGCGCAGCAGUCCGGAGGAGGCCAGCAGUGCCGACGACGGCUCUGCGAUGGGGAAAGGUCGAUCAUUGCGGCACCAGCAGUUCCACGAUCACAUUAUAUCCGCGUGUUGAUGAGCAACAUGACUCUCCGCCCUUCCUCCCUCCAGGAAGAGACAUGAUCAUAUCGAUCACCAGUCAUGGAGUCAAGUGGUUGUUGUCGUCAAGCUAAAUGUUGGUGAGUGCCAAAUGAGAAGAUAUAUGUUCUAAUAUUCCUGAGCUGGACAUUAUGGUAAAAUAUUAAUUUUAGAAAUUUUGCCAAUCAUACCGGUCUGUAGCUAUAUCACAUUGCAAAAUUCCAUGAACAUGUGGUCCACAUUAUUUUUCACAUUGCAAAAUUCCAUGAACAUGUGGUCCACAUUAUUUUUCUAUUAUAUUUUUCCUGCCCAAGCGUGGAUGCAGGUGGAUGUGGGCGCCGCGGCUGCCACCAAGGAUGUAGGGGUCAUGCUACAACCGGUGAGGACACAAUAGGCACUUUUUUUUGGGAUGGAGGGAGUAUUACAUUCCUUGUAAUCGCAUGCUAUAUUUUCAGUGGGAAUUCAUUGACACAGUUCCUUACAAAAGUUGUAUCUUUGACAUAGGCAAACUGCUCAAGUGAUUAUAUCAUCCAUUCUGAUUUUGAGGGAAAUAUAUCCAAA
Molecule: RNA transcript, 3536 nt
Organism: Triticum aestivum (bread wheat)
Lineage: Eukaryota; Viridiplantae; Streptophyta; Magnoliopsida; Poales; Poaceae
Exons: 16
Source: RefSeq, a predicted model, not a curated record